Molecule: long non-coding RNA, 1314 nt
Organism: Oncorhynchus nerka (sockeye salmon)
Lineage: Eukaryota; Metazoa; Chordata; Actinopteri; Salmoniformes; Salmonidae
Exons: 2
Source: RefSeq, a predicted model, not a curated record
AGCUGUUUACUUCCUGGUUGCACCAUGAGAAGAGGAUGGCUGCAUCAAAGUUCCCAAACAAAAGUUUCACUUUCAGUCAAGUUCUGGAUAUGUUGGAUCUAGGUGACUGCCCAGACAAGGCAUGCAACAUUGCAGUUAUCCCUCACAAUGAGAAAGAUGCUGUCCUGAGUGAUUGUGAUAGCGAUGGGUCAGAUAUGGACUAUGGACAGGCCAUUUGCCAGCCAGGCUGUUGAAUGCAUAUGCUGAACCUAUGCAAACAGACCAUGACAGGAACAACGUUAUCAGUGAUGGUGACCUACCCCUCACCACCCUCCAUUGUUGUUAAUGAAGAGCCAAGGGCCUCUACCCGCCAGAGGGUCCAGUCAGAAGAGCCAAGGGCCUCUACAAGCCAUAGGCGUCAGCCAGAAGAGCCAAGGGAAAAGCUGCAGGUGGUCAAAAAUAAAGAUUGAGCGUUCAAACGAUCGAAGAGGCCUGCCACUGAUGUGAUUCCAAAACACAUAGUAUACAGCCCAAAUAUGCAAAAGUUUGGCACGAAACCCCUGAGCCAUGGAAGGAGAUCUUUACUGGUUGCUACUGUUGAAGAUCAGGCAAGAUAUGACAAAGCUUCUCACUGGCCAAUCAACACGAUGCACCGGUUCCACAGAAGUCGUACUACCUAUGCAUGUGAGAAAUGCAAAGCGCCACUGCACAUUGAGGGCUUCAAGAUAUACCAUGGACAGUAGAAAAGGAGAUAAGACCGAAUGAAAAAGGGUUGAAAAAGACAAUAAAAGAAAAAUAGAAAAGUCGAUAAAGGGUGAGGAGAAGCAGUACAACGGACUCUAGGAAGAAAAGAAAAGUCGACGAAAAAGACAAUCAAAAUAACUGAAAUGUUUUUGGAAAAGAAGGUCAAUUGAUUCAAGACAUCCUGUAUGACAGUAGGUCUGACUGAUCGUAGUUCAAAACAGUGAUGCACAAACUAAUCUUGCACUUGGUUCUGAAGCCUAACUAUGAUAUAUAUUUAUAUAUAUAUAUAUACAUCUAUAAAAGCACUCAUUGUCCAGUGGCGCUUUUUAAAUAUAUAAUUGUAUUUUAUUCAGUGUAGGCCUCUACUUUAAUGAAUAUUCUACAGGCUACCUCUAUCCUAAAUGUUACCUUUAUGUUCAGUGGGAAUGACUCACAUGACUGCUAUACAGUUGUUAGUGAAUGUUGCACUAAAAUGUCACAAUGACAACGUUACAAUGAAUAUUGCACUAAAGUACAAGUUCAACUGUUACAAUAAAGUUACAAUAUUAAUGUUUCAGUACAUGUUGCACUAAAGUAACAAUGUUGAAAUAC